AGAAUAGGAAAGCUGUUUCCAUUACUGAAAGCCCAGGGACAUGGACUGGUUUUAGAGCCAAUGGGAAUGUUGAUCCAGAAGAAGACAGUCUACAGGGAGAAGUAAAAAUGAGGAUGCUGGUUGAGGCUCUAUAGCACCCUCCUGAGGCUCCACAGCACCCUCUUGAAGACCUACAGCACCUUCUCAAGGAUCUACGGCCCCCUCUGGAGGCUCUGUUGCAGCCUUUUGGGGAUCUAUAGCACCUACUUGCCACUUUUCCUGGCUCCCCAGGGCUUCCUCCCAGUGCCUAUUCUCUGCUCUCUUUGCUGGUUUCCAACUGCCAUUAAUUCUAAUACAUGCCCUUCCCUAACGUGUUUACCUGGGGAAGAAUCUAAUUAAUUAAUUCUCACUAGGUAUGAUUAAUUUAUUAGAAUCCUAAAAAGUUGUGCAUUUUAACAGGAAUUUCCUUCACCCAAAGGGUUGUUAGAGGUGGGACGGACCUUAAAAGUAAAAGCGAUUGAAGCCAAGUCUCUCCUCCUCCCUCC
RNAcentral lists this long non-coding RNA (524 nucleotides) under Equus asinus (donkey). RNAcentral describes it as "lncRNA (ENSEASG00005035255.1, ENSEASG00020017364.1)". Lineage: Eukaryota; Metazoa; Chordata; Mammalia; Perissodactyla; Equidae. The record is from RNAcentral.